UUUAUGUCUGAUGUUGAUGGUAGAAUAUUUAUAUCAUGAAUGUGUUCCUAUGUCGAUAUAUUGGAAGGAUUCUAAAUAAUCGAUCAAUGGAAGCUGAGUAUAUUGUAGAUGUGUAGGAUGCAUUCUGGUUGUAAUGUUAGUUGCAGAAUUAGUUGUCAUACCAUCAGAUGCUGUGAUACUAUACUGCAAAGACAAUGGCACCAUAGCCCUUGCUAAGGAAUCUAUGUCUCACCAGAUAUCCAAGCACAUAAAAUCGUAGAACACAUGACUAUCUUGAGUAGAAAUAUAUAGAGGUGCAGAG
RNAcentral lists this long non-coding RNA (301 nucleotides) under Elaeis guineensis (African oil palm). RNAcentral's name for it is "long non-coding RNA (EGUI_LNC050892)". Lineage: Eukaryota; Viridiplantae; Streptophyta; Magnoliopsida; Arecales; Arecaceae. The record is from RNAcentral.